Molecule: RNA transcript, 3088 nt
Organism: Scylla paramamosain (green mud crab)
Lineage: Eukaryota; Metazoa; Arthropoda; Malacostraca; Decapoda; Portunidae
Gene: rump
Gene name: myelin expression factor 2-like
Exons: 12
Source: RefSeq, a predicted model, not a curated record
AGGGGGUCGAGAUGCGGGAAGGGAUUGGUGACGUAAGCGGCGUCAAGCGGAGGCCGACCACUCAGCAUCAACAGGAGGAAGCAGAGUUAUAUAUCUUUAUCGCCUAACAUCAUGGACAUGGCCGAGGGAUCUGACUACUCUAGUGUCAAGAGGGAGAGGUCGCGCUCUCCGAUUGACGAGGACAGCCGGGACAGGGAGGGUGGCAACGACCACGAUGGGGACCGGGACCGUGGCCGCCGAAUGGACCGUGGCCGCCGCAUGGACCGCUCAAGGGGUGGUGGGAGACGAGGCUCGGAAGACACGCGGAUCUACGUCUCCAAUAUUCCCUAUGAGUACAAGUGGCAGGAUUUGAAGGACUUGUUCAGGAAGGAGGUGGGAGAGGUGGCAUACGUAGAAAUGUUCAAUGACGAGAACAACAGACCGCGAGGGUGUGCUGUGAUUGAGUUUGAGAGCAUGGAUCUGGUGGCCAAGGCUGUCAAGACCAUGCACAGGUUUGAACUCAAGGGCCGCAAGCUGGUGGUGAAGGAGAAAGCAGAUGAUCUCCCACUUGCCUACUUGUCACAGAUCCGCAUGGGGAAUAGAAUGGGUGGGCCAUCUCGCCAGGACUUCGACUCAGACAGAGACCGCCGCAUGAUGAAGUCCGACAUGCGCAGCAGAGACUUUGCCCGGGGCGCUGAUAUUGGGGGACCUCCCAGCAUGUCUGUCAACAAGUUUGGCAACACAUAUGGCCUGUCCACAGUGUUCCUGGAGUCACUCGGCAUCACUGGACCUCUAGUCAACAAGGUGUUCGUAGCUAAUUUGGAUUACAAGGUGGAUGACAAGAUGCUGAAGGAUGUAUUCAAGAUUGCCGGCAAGGUUGUCACUGUGGAGAUCAGCAAAGACCAGGAUGGGAAGAGUCGAGGCUUUGGAGUUGUUGAGUUUGAACACCCAGUGGAGGCAGUUCAGGCCAUCUCCAUGUUCCACAACCAGACAUACUAUGACCGUAAAAUCAGUGUGAGGAUGGACCGCGUCACAGAGAAGCAAGAGUCAACGGCCACCAAGCUGCCACCGGGCCUCAAGAGUCUCGGCAUGGGUCUUGGGGUCAAUGGCACUGCUCUCACAGAUGUUGCGAGUCUGCCCAAUGCUGUUGCCACAGGGGUGUCUGCCUCACUGCCAGGCAUGGGAUCCAUGACCUCAAACAUGGGUACAAUGGGCAAUCAAAACAUGGGUAUGAUGGGUAUGGGAGGCACAACUGGCAUGGGGACAGGGAUGGCCAACCUUGGCACCGGCAUGGGGAACUUGGGUAACAUGGGCACUGGUCUCAGCAGUCUGGGGAACAUGGGCACUGGCAUGGGCAACAUGGGCGCCGGGAUGAACACCAUGGGCAACGGGAUGGGAUCCUCCAUCAUGGGGGGCAUGGGCACCUCCAGCAGCAUGGUGUCCAACCUGACCGGUGUGGGUGCUGGGCUGGCCGGAGGCGGCGGCCUGGUGGGCUCCAGCCUGUCCCGGGGCAGCCUGGGCAGCAGCGGCGGCGGUGGCGGCGGCGGCGGCUACAGCUCCUAUGGGUCAUCAAGCCUCUCCAGGGAGUACAACCACGCCAGCGGCACAAACAACAGCUCCAGCUCCUACUCCGGUUACAGGAACAUCAUCCAGCUGAGCCAUCUCCCCCUGGACUACACGUGGCAGUCCUUGCGUGACCUGUGCCGAGAGUUUGGGGAGAUCAGGUUUGCUGAAAUUCGCUCCAAAGGAACUGGAACAGUUCGGUUCCAGACUGAAUCUGAUGCCAGAAGAGCAGUCGAAAUGUUGGAUCGCCAGCGUCUGGAUGGAAGAAUUCUGGAUGUGGUCCUGUUGUAGGGCGGGUGACAAAGACCACGUCAACAAGGUGAAAUGGAGAGGGCCCUCCCGUGCACCAGGCUGGCCUGGCCUCACCCACAAGACUUCAAAAUCAAGGUGAGAGGGAGAAGACAGCAGGUGAGUCAGGCUGGAGCAAUGGCCUGGAAAGUGGAGGAGUGUGGAGUUUGCUGUUCUUCUGCUGGAGGGAUGGAGGAGGACCUGUGAGAUAGUCUUAUUUUGCCAGUCCGCCAAGCCUCUGUCCAUCAGGACAGGAUGCUUGAGAAGCGUCAACAGGUAGGUGCUGUGGUGGACACUCAGUAGGUAGUGCCUCGUGUUGACUAGGGUUUGUGUAAGGUUGAGAUUCAGAAUUACUGUUUGGGAUUCAAAGUUUAGAGAGUGAGUGUUGUGUAGUGGAGUGGAGGGGGGACAGAAUGAUGAAUCUUUUAAAGUUGAUUUGUGUGAUGAAGGACAAUAGCCAAUCUAAUCUAAAAGCUUUCCUAUCCCAUAAAUGCUAUCAUGAAUGAACAAACAAAAGGAGAAAUUGUGGAAUGAAAUAGGUUAAAACAAAUAAAAGUUAAAGUAAUGAAUUAUCAUUCAUUACUUUAACUUUUUCUCCUUUUGUUUGUUCAUUCAUGAUGGCAUUUAUGGGAUGGGAAAGCUUUUAAUUUUGCAACAUCGAGUACUUUUAUUUUUUAGUCAGUGUGGAGGUGCAGCACCUUCAAGUUUUAAAUUCACCCUCAGCUUCAUUUUUUUUUUAUUGUAGUCUGUGAUGAACUGUGAGAAACAUUUUGCUUCCUUUGUUCACAUGGACUUGUUACACUGGAUGGGAGAUGUUCCAAGCUGCUGAGUGGCCGUUCUUCAGUUUAUCUAAAUGUCCAGGUUGUUGGUGUAGUCUUCCUACCACAGUGCAAGUGCAGGAAGCAGAAUGUUUGUCACAGUGUGUAGCAGUGACUUCAGUUUGUGUGGAGUAAGAACUAUUAUGAGUUAGGAUAGGGUGGUAUUGCUUGAAGGUAAGGUGAUAACUGCCAAUGGGAUCAGCAUGGGAGUAGCAGUACUGGAGUGUCAGGAAGGGAAGAGGUGGGUGGUGGUAGUAAUACUUAAUGGUUUCAGUAAGGGAAGAGUAGAGCAGUACUUGCCGUCUGUAAGGGAGGAGGUUGUGGUGGUGGUGUAAUGGGAUUCAUAUGAGUAACCUUUGUUAAUAGAGAAUGAAUGUACUGCUUCAUUGUGUUUACAGUCUCAGAAUGGUGUGAAGGUGUGAAAUAAAUAAUGAAACGAA